UGGAGCUCCUUGGAGAAACAAAACAUGAUCCCCGAGAACAAGUAGUUCCCAUUUUAGCUUUACCAAUCUGUAGAUUACGUACGGAAGAGGUGAGUUCACUUACCGAGUUAAAUGAGCCGCUCGGCGACGUAGGUGGUGAGUCAGAAGGUGGGGAUAUUGGAGGCGAAGCCAAAAUGGAAGUUGGUGAAGAAACAUAGUCUAAACGAUAGCGGAUAGGCGAGCCGAAGUAAUCCAUAUCACUUGACCCGGACCCGGACCCAUUCCCUCUUGGACUCUGCUGCGGUAAGACCCGUAGUUGCUCCGGCGUGUGAGCAAAAAAACAAACCCUCCGUUUACAA
This 338-nucleotide long non-coding RNA is filed under the name Gossypium barbadense (sea-island cotton). RNAcentral's name for it is "long non-coding RNA (GBAR_LNC005871)". The record is from RNAcentral. Lineage: Eukaryota; Viridiplantae; Streptophyta; Magnoliopsida; Malvales; Malvaceae.